This 307-nucleotide ribosomal RNA is filed under the name uncultured bacterium. RNAcentral's name for it is "bacterial SSU rRNA". It matches the Rfam family "Bacterial small subunit ribosomal RNA", at positions 198 to 507 of the family's 1533-position model. The record is from RNAcentral.
GAAUUAAAGAUUUAUCGGUAACGGAUGGGGAUGCGUGACAUUAGAUAGUAGGCGGGGUAACGGCCCACCUAGUCUACGAUGUCUAGGGGUUCUGAGAGGAAGGUCCCCCACACUGGAACUGAGACACGGUCCAGACUCCUACGGGAGGCAGCAAUGAGGAAUAUUGGUCAAUGGUCGGAAGACUGAACCAGCCAAGUAGCGUGAAGGAUGAAGGUUCUAUGGAUUGUAAACUUCUUUAUACGGGAAUAAACCUCCCACGUGUGGGAGCUUGUAUGUACCGUAUGAAUAAGCAUCGGCUAACUCCGUG